ACACGAUUUGGGGCUUUUAACUUCAAAACAUGAUUUGGGGCUUUUAACUUCAAGUUUUAGGGGUUUUGGUUUUAAAACCCAACAUAUGGGAAUAAGCAUGGCUACUUUGUUUUUUGAUUAUUCCUGUUUUUUAUUAUUCCUAAUUAUUUCUGUUUUUGAUUAUUUCUAAUUAUUCAUGUUUUCAUAUUUUCAUAUUAUUCCUAUUUUAAAAUCCAACAUUCGGAUUUCAUAUUGUUCCUGUCAAACUUUGGAAUAUCAAUGAAGUAUGAUUUUUC
RNAcentral lists this long non-coding RNA (275 nucleotides) under Zostera marina. RNAcentral's name for it is "long non-coding RNA (ZMAR_LNC005449)". Lineage: Eukaryota; Viridiplantae; Streptophyta; Magnoliopsida; Alismatales; Zosteraceae. The record is from RNAcentral.